RNAcentral lists this ribosomal RNA (253 nucleotides) under uncultured bacterium. Its description in RNAcentral is "partial 16S ribosomal RNA". It matches the Rfam family "Bacterial small subunit ribosomal RNA", at positions 524 to 776 of the family's 1533-position model. The record is from RNAcentral.
UACGUAGGAUGCAAGCGUUGUCCGGAUUUAUUGGUUUUAAAGGGUGCGUAGGCGGCCUAUUAAGUUAGUGGUGAAAACGUUCGGCUUAACCGGAUACCCGCCAUUGAUACUGAUAGACUUGAGUGCGACAGAGGGUGUUGGAAUGUGUGGUGUAGCGGUGAAAUGCUUAGAUAUCACGCAGAACACCAAUUGCGAAGGCAGAUGCCUAUGUCGUAACUGACGCUGAGGCACGAAAGCGUGGGGAGCAACGAGG